CAAAUGAUAUUGGUUUCCAUUGUG
Molecule: non-coding RNA, 24 nt
Filed under: Arabidopsis thaliana (thale cress)
Lineage: Eukaryota; Viridiplantae; Streptophyta; Magnoliopsida; Brassicales; Brassicaceae
Source: RNAcentral